UGGAAAUACAGACGAAAGUACUGUUAUACAACAGUAAGCGAUCAAAUUGAUUAAGCGUAUUGUAAAUACGCCCGCCUGAUUGGGGUAAACCUUCUUACAAAAAGAAGGUCUAUUUUUAUGCUU
The submitters of this non-coding RNA (123 nucleotides) gave its source as unclassified sequences. The record is from Rfam.